Molecule: ribosomal RNA, 390 nt
Filed under: uncultured bacterium
Lineage: Bacteria
Description: bacterial SSU rRNA
Rfam family: Bacterial small subunit ribosomal RNA
Source: RNAcentral
AUUGAACGCUGGCGGCAUGCCUUACACAUGCAAGUCGAACGGCAGCGGACCUUCGGGUGCCGGCGAGUGGCGAACGGGUGAGUAAUAUAUCGGAACGUACCUUUCAGUGGGGGAUAACGUAGCGAAAGUUACGCUAAUACCGCAUAUUCUGUGAGCAGGAAAGCAGGGGAUCGCAAGACCUUGCGCUGAUUGAGCGGCCGAUAUCAGGAUUAGCUAGUUGGUGAGGUAAAGGCUCACCAAGGCGACGAUCUGUAGCGGGUCUGAGAGGAUGAUCCGCCACACUGGAACUGAGACACGGUCCAGACUCCUACGGGAGGCAGCAGUGGGGAAUUUUGGACAAUGGGCGCAAGCCUGAUCCAGCCAUGCCGCGUGAGUGAAGAAGGCCUGGUU